RNAcentral lists this ribosomal RNA (657 nucleotides) under Lyophyllum sp. SB102. Its description in RNAcentral is "eukaryotic LSU rRNA". The stretch from base 276 to 429 matches the Rfam family "5.8S ribosomal RNA". Lineage: Eukaryota; Fungi; Basidiomycota; Agaricomycetes; Agaricales; Lyophyllaceae. The record is from RNAcentral.
GUCGUAACAAGGUUUCCGUAGGUGAACCUGCGGAAGGAUCAUUAUUGAAUAAACUUGGUUGGGUUGUUGCUGGCUCCUCGGAGUAUGUGCACGCCUAGCGCCAUUUUUACCACCUGUGCACCUUUUGUAGACCUGGAUAUCUCUCGAGGAAACUCGGUUUGAGGACUGCUGUGUGAAAGCCAGCUUUCCUUGCAUUUCUGGGUCUAUGUUUUUAUAUACCCCAUAAGAAUGUAACAGAAUGUCGUUUACUGGCCUUUGUGCCUUUAAUCAAAUACAACUUUCAGCAACGGAUCUCUUGGCUCUCGCAUCGAUGAAGAACGCAGCGAAAUGCGAUAAGUAAUGUGAAUUGCAGAAUUCAGUGAAUCAUCGAAUCUUUGAACGCACCUGGCGCUCCCUGGUAUUCCGGGGAGCAUGUCUGUUUGAGUGUCAUUAAAUUCUCAACCUUUCCAGCUUUUGCGAGCUUGGUCAGGCUUGGAUGUGGGGGUUGCGGGCUUCUCAGAAGUCGGCUCUCCUUAAAUGCAUUAGUGAAACCUUUGUUGAUCAUCUCUUGGUGUGAUAAUUAUCUACGCCAUUGGAGUGUCAGCCUCAACUCUGUUGAGAGGUUCUGCUUCUAACUGUCCCUCUAGGGACAACUUCUGACCUUUGACCUCAAAUCAG